This 307-nucleotide long non-coding RNA is filed under the name Cucumis sativus (cucumber). RNAcentral's name for it is "long non-coding RNA (CSAT_LNC001408)". Lineage: Eukaryota; Viridiplantae; Streptophyta; Magnoliopsida; Cucurbitales; Cucurbitaceae. The record is from RNAcentral.
GCAGACUCAACAUAAAAUUGAGAUGGAUAAGAGAGAUGGGGUGUUCGGAACACAAGCAAUGGCAGUGCCUCCUGCUCAAUAUAUGUCACGGAUCGAUCAGCCAAUUCCUCCCUCGGUUGGAUAUCCACCACAACCUGCAUACGGACAGCCCUAUGCACCUCAGUCUCAAGGCUAUCCAGCUCCGGGUUAUCCACAACCAGGUUAUCCACAACCAGGUUAUCCCCCUACUGGAUAUAGGUAAUAUCUGCACUCUUCCGCAGAUUCCGCCAUCAUUCAUUGUGUUUUUGUCCAUGGUUUUAUGAUUUUC